AACGCACAUUGCGCCCUCUGGUAUUCCGGGGGGCAUGCCUGUUCGAGCGUCAUUAUGACCAAUCACGCAAGUGGUAUUGGGGCUUGCCGUCGGCAUCCCUUAAAACUAGUGGCAGUGCUAUAGGCUCUCAGCGCAGUAAUUAUUUCGCUCUCGAGUCCUAGACCCACCCGCCAAAACCCCAACUUUCUUAAGGUUGACCUCGGAUCAGGUAGGGAUACCCGCUGAACUUAA
RNAcentral lists this unclassified non-coding RNA (231 nucleotides) under uncultured fungus. RNAcentral describes it as "sequence contains ITS2". The stretch from base 1 to 52 matches the Rfam family "5.8S ribosomal RNA", at positions 103 to 154 of the family's 154-position model. Lineage: Eukaryota; Fungi. The record is from RNAcentral.